Molecule: unclassified non-coding RNA, 648 nt
Filed under: Hevea brasiliensis (rubber tree)
Lineage: Eukaryota; Viridiplantae; Streptophyta; Magnoliopsida; Malpighiales; Euphorbiaceae
Source: RNAcentral
GGAGGGAGUGAAAGAGUAGUACUUUCAGUGGGAGUGCACAAGAGUUCCAUUGUAAUAAACUUGUCAUCGUCAUCAGAUUUUGAAGUGACAUCUGAGUUUGGUAGACUAGUUUGGCUGAAUGAAACGGGGGGAGCAGUGGGUGAGGCUAUUUCUGUUGUUGAGGAUGACACCUUCACCAUAAACUUAUCGUCCCCAGAAGAUGUUGAAGUGGGGUCUGAUAGAGGCAAAAGAUCCGUCAUAACAUCAAGUCUGCGAGCUGUAGAAUGAUCUUCAAAGACGGACAUUUCUUUGGAGCAAGGGAAGGCACUAUCAGUGGCCACAGUCGAAAUUGAUUUCUGAUUGCAAGCACCAACAUCCACAAUGUGAUGCUCGUCAUACUUCUCGAUGGAGCAUGGUUCAGAAUUCUUAUUAUCAUGGGUUUCCUCCCCUAAACUAAAAGCAACCUCCGAGUGAGAUGAGUUAGUGGUAGACCAAGAGGGCCUUGAUCUCGUGGUUUCAGUUUCAGUAGCUCUUUCAUGACCUUGGAGCAUCUGCUCCGUUAAAUUCAUAAAAGGAGUUGUUGCAUCAUCACAGAGUUCAAAUCCUUGAAUUGACACAGAAGAACAAGCAGAAACACUACUUUCUGCUUGUGUUUCUUUUGAAGCUCCA